This 564-nucleotide ribosomal RNA is filed under the name Triticum aestivum (bread wheat). RNAcentral's name for it is "partial small subunit ribosomal RNA". Lineage: Eukaryota; Viridiplantae; Streptophyta; Magnoliopsida; Poales; Poaceae. The record is from RNAcentral.
AUGAUCUUUGGAGAUUUUAAUGAGAUACUAGUUGCUAGCGAGAAGGAGGGUGGAAACAUCAGACCGCAACAAUAUAUGCAAAAUUUUCGAGACUGUGUGGAUGAUUGUGGUUUACAAGAAAUCAUGUCUAUAGGGGACCCUUUUACUUGGAGUAGAGGUGUGAUCAGAGAAAGGCUGGAUAGAGACUUAUGAAACGAGAAGUGGGCUGAUAUUUUUCCUUAUGCAGCGGUUAUCCAUGAACACCAUGUGCAUUCAGACCACAGACCAAUACUGCUAGAUACAGAAUAUUAUUCCGCUGUUAUGGGACAGAAGCAAAGAGGUGAAAGAAUGUUUGAAGCAAGAUGGUUGAGUGAAUCUACAGUUGAUGAAAUUGUUAAAAGCGCUUGGGAAAGAGCGAAGCUGGCAGGGAUCGGUCCUUCGCUUGCGUCCAGAACCAAGUCAGUUAAGGAUGACAUGUUCAUUUGGGACCGUGAUACACUCAAAGGUCCGAAGAAGAGAAUUAAUAAGUUGAAGAAAGAGCUAGAGAAGUUGAGAAGAUGUACACUGACAGAAGAAGUAAGAUAG